UACGUAGGGGGCAAGCGUUGUCCGGAAUUAUUGGGCGUAAAGAGCUCGUAGGCGGCUCGUCGCGUCGGCUGUGAAAACCUGGGGCUCAACCCCGGGCCUGCAGCCGAUACGGGCGAGCUAGAAUUCGGUAGGGGAGACUGGAAUUCCUGGUGUAGCGGUGAAAUGCGCAGAUAUCAGGAGGAACACCGGUGGCGAAGGCGGGUCUCUGGGCCGAUAUUGACGCUGAGGAGCGAAAGCGUGGGGAGCGAACAGG
RNAcentral lists this ribosomal RNA (253 nucleotides) under uncultured bacterium. Its description in RNAcentral is "partial 16S ribosomal RNA". It matches the Rfam family "Bacterial small subunit ribosomal RNA", at positions 524 to 776 of the family's 1533-position model. The record is from RNAcentral.